Molecule: non-coding RNA, 148 nt
Organism: Gorilla gorilla gorilla (western lowland gorilla)
Lineage: Eukaryota; Metazoa; Chordata; Mammalia; Primates; Hominidae
Rfam family: Metazoan signal recognition particle RNA
About the family: The signal recognition particle (SRP) is a universally conserved ribonucleoprotein.
Source: Rfam
GCCAGGCAUGAUGGCACGUGCCUGUAGUCCAAGCUACUUGGGAGGCUGAGUUGGGAGGAUCACUUGAGCCCAGGAGGUUGAGGCUGCAGUGAGCCAUUAUCAUGUUACUGCACUCCAGCCUGGGCGACAGAGUGAGACCCUGUUUCAA